RNAcentral lists this ribosomal RNA (290 nucleotides) under uncultured bacterium. RNAcentral describes it as "partial 16S ribosomal RNA". It matches the Rfam family "Bacterial small subunit ribosomal RNA", at positions 28 to 320 of the family's 1533-position model. The record is from RNAcentral.
GACGAACGCUGGCGGCGUGCUUAACACAUGCAAGUCGAGCGGCAGCGCGGGGGCAACCCUGGCGGCGAGCGGCGGACGGGUGAGUAAUACAUCGGAACGUGUCCUUUCGUGGGGGAGUAACCAGUCGAAAGACUGGCUAAUACCGCAUGAGAUCUCACGAUGAAAGCGAGGACCGCAAGGCCUCGCGCGAUUGGAGCGGCCGAUGUCGGAUUAGCUAGUUGGACGGGGAAAAGCCCACCAAGGCUGCGAUCCGUAGCUGGUUUGAGAGAACGACCAGCCACACUGGGACU